RNAcentral lists this ribosomal RNA (747 nucleotides) under Triticum aestivum (bread wheat). Its description in RNAcentral is "partial small subunit ribosomal RNA". The record is from RNAcentral. Lineage: Eukaryota; Viridiplantae; Streptophyta; Magnoliopsida; Poales; Poaceae.
AUGCCCGGCCUUGUCAACUUCUUUCUCUGCCUCAUCCGUGAGGACGGCCGCCGUCGCCGUUUCGCGGCCCGUGGCUGGCACUGCACAGUCUCCGCCGAGUCGGACGACCCUCGACGUGACAGGCUGCUGGCCGCGGCCCUCGACGUGGCCUCCGCGCCCCUGGACACGGCCAUCGCGCCGCUGCACGCUGCGACCACGCCCCAACGGUGGCCGGCUCCGCCCAGGCAGGAGAUGGCAUCCCCGGGCCCGUGCUCACGGCUCCAACACGGAUUCCGCCUCCGCCUCCAGCACCGGUCGACGAGCCCGGCUUCUUCGUCUUCGUGCCGUUCCCAAACGGCGCCGGAGGGACGACCCAAGCCGCUGGCCCGACGCCGGUCGCGCAGCCUGGAGACGCGGACGCCGGCCCGUGUCGCAGCGCCGCCGGGUCUCCGCGUGUCUCCGCCUCCGUGCCGGACGAGGCACCACCGUCCCCGCGCACGGUCGCCCGACCGCACCGCCAGGACUCCGCGAGCAUGGAGGGACGCCGCCGCCUCUUCGGUCGCGCCAUCGCCGCCAUCGACCGCCGCCCUAGUCGUCGCUCCGGUCUCGCCCCCGAUCUACCCAACGGCGCCGCUGCAGGCGCCAUCGACGUCUCCUCAUCCGAGGAAGAUGGAGGCGCGCCAGCGAGCCGCCCGUGAGCAGCGGCGUAUGCGGCGGCGGCACCCAGGCGUGGAUUUGGUCAGAAGGAUUGGGGGAUCGCUCCCCUAA